Long non-coding RNA from Ricinus communis (castor bean), 1222 nucleotides. RefSeq lists it as uncharacterized. The record is from RefSeq and is a predicted model, not a curated record. The transcript is spliced from 3 exons. NCBI's taxonomy places the organism in Eukaryota, Viridiplantae, Streptophyta, Magnoliopsida, Malpighiales, Euphorbiaceae.
UUUUCCGCUAAAUCUCAUAUUUUUUCCAGUUCAGAAAUUUUCUUUCUACAAUAGGUUUUUAGUAGGGUACUUUGUACAAAAAAUUCUUCACUUAUUCAGCUUAUUAGUGUCCUGGUUAAUCGCAAUACUACAUUCGAAUCAGGAAGACAAUACAAGACUGGGAAUGGUAGUAAAGGAUAAUAUCUAGCAUGUAAUACCCGUGAUUUAAUAUUUAAAUUGCUUUAAUUUUUAUCAAGAUAAUUUGAUAAAUUUUGAAAUUAGAUCUAUGAUUUUAAGAGAGUAGUCAAUUUUAUUUACAUUUUCCUCCUCUCCCCCCACUCCCUUCCAUUUCCGCUGCCUGCCCCUUCUUCCCAGCCAUCGCAAGCUCCUUCCUCUUGCCCCUCCCUCGCCGGUGUCGCCUCCUUAUUUCUUGCUGCCGGCGACGAGUUAGAGGAAGGAAAGCUCCUCCCUUGCUGCUGCCACUAGAACGAUCGCCUACCACCGUCCUUCCGCUAGUCUGACAUCGGAAUCGUGCUCCCCAUUGUCGACAACCCGAAGCCAGCUCCUCCCCGCCGUUCUUCCUCCGCCGGCGGCCUUAGAAGAGUCUUACUGGAGCAGCUCCUUUCUCACCGCGAUCUAGCAGUUUCCAACAAGGGCUAGGCAGUGAGUUUGGUGUUUUUGAAUUCCUCGCAACUCAAGCUUUGCAUAGGCGUCUCCAGAUUCGAAAUCCGACACCAUUGGCGGUACUGGCUUUCGGGCUCCAGUGUUUUUUGAACGCACAAAAUUUCGAGUUCGGCUCGAUAAUCUGAAAGUCCAGCCAACUCCAUCUGAAGCGUAGGAGCAGUCAGCAGAACUCGGCAGAACAAUUCAGCAAGACUUGAUUUCCAUGUGAAGACAGGAGAACAACUAGGAGAUAUCUUCACGAAGGCUCUUAAUGGGACUCGAAUUGAUUAUCUUUGUAACAAGCUGGGCAUGAUUAAUAACUAUACUUCAGCUUGAGGGGGAGUAUUAUGGAAGUUGUAUAGGAUUGUAUAUAGUAAUUAGAAAACUAAUUUAUUCCUAGUCCCACUUAGAUUAUGAUUUGUAUGUAUUGUGUAUAUAUAUGCGUAUAACUCACUUGAUUAAAUAAUAAGAUUUUCAAAUUCUUCACUCAAAUUACAUUCCUAAAAGCAAGUUUGAGAAAAGUAAUUUAUAAAAUAUUAUAAAAAUCAAUAUACUAAUAAAAAAUAUUCCAAACCUGCUU